GAUGAACGCUGGCGGCGUGCCUAAUACAUGCAAGUCGAGCGAACAGACGAGGAGCUUGCUCCUCUGACGUUAGCGGCGGACGGGUGAGUAACACGUGGAUAACCUACCUAUAAGACUGGGAUAACUUCGGGAAACCGGAGCUAAUACCGGAUAAUAUAUUGAACCGCAUGGUUCAAUAGUGAAAGACGGUUUUGCUGUCACUUAUAGAUGGAUCCGCGCCGCAUUAGCUAGUUGGUAAGGUAACGGCUUACCAAGGCAACGAUGCGUAGCCGACCUGAGAGGGUGAUCGGCCACACUGGAACUGAGACACGGUCCAGACUCCUACGGGAGGCAGCAGUAGGGACUCUUCCGCAAUGGGCGAAAGCCUGACGGAGCAACGCCGCGUGAGUGAUGAAGGUCUUCGGAUCGUAAAACUCUGUUAUUAGGGAAGAACAAAUGUGUAAGUACCUAUGCACGUCUUGACGGUACCUAAUCAGAAAGCCACGGCUAACUACGUG
RNAcentral lists this ribosomal RNA (497 nucleotides) under uncultured bacterium. RNAcentral describes it as "partial 16S ribosomal RNA". It matches the Rfam family "Bacterial small subunit ribosomal RNA", at positions 28 to 507 of the family's 1533-position model. The record is from RNAcentral.